CCUACGGGUGGCAGCAGUGGGGAAUAUUGGACAAUGGGCGAAAGCCUGAUCCAGCCAUGCCGCGUGUGUGAAGAAGGCCUUCGGGUUGUAAAGCACUUUCAGUGGGGAAGAAAGCCUUGGGGCUAAUACCCUCGAGGAAGGACAUCACCCACAGAAGAAGCACCGGCUAACUCCGUGCCAGCAGCCGCGGUAAUACGGAGGGUGCGAGCGUUAAUCGGAAUUACUGGGCGUAAAGCGCGCGUAGGCGGUCUGAUAAGCCGGUUGUGAAAGCCCCGGGCUCAACCUGGGAACGGCAUCCGGAACUGUCAGGCUAGAGUGCAGGAGAGGAAGGUAGAAUUCCCGGUGUAGCGGUGAAAUGCGUAGAGAUCGGGAGGAAUACCAGUGGCGAAGGCGGCCUUCUGGACUGACACUGACGCUGAGGUGCGAAAGCGUGGGUAGCAAACAGGAUUAGAUCCCCUAGUAGUC
Molecule: ribosomal RNA, 465 nt
Filed under: Vreelandella stevensii
Lineage: Bacteria; Pseudomonadati; Pseudomonadota; Gammaproteobacteria; Oceanospirillales; Halomonadaceae
Description: partial 16S ribosomal RNA
Rfam family: Bacterial small subunit ribosomal RNA
Source: RNAcentral